Molecule: ribosomal RNA, 492 nt
Filed under: uncultured bacterium
Lineage: Bacteria
Description: partial 16S ribosomal RNA
Rfam family: Bacterial small subunit ribosomal RNA
Source: RNAcentral
AGUGAACGCUGGCGGUAGGCCUAACACAUGCAAGUCGAACGGCAGCACAGUAAGAGCUUGCUCUUAGGGGUGGCGAGUGGCGGACGGGUGAGGAAUACAUCGGAAUCUACUUUUUCGUGGGGGAUAACGUAGGGAAACUUACGCUAAUACCGCAUACGACCUACGGGUGAAAGCAGGGGAUCUUCGGACCUUGCGCGAUUGAAUGAGCCGAUGUCGGAUUAGCUAGUUGGCGGGGUAAAGGCCCACCAAGGCGACGAUCCGUAGCUGGUCUGAGAGGAUGAUCAGCCACACUGGAACUGAGACACGGUCCAGACUCCUACGGGAGGCAGCAGUGGGGAAUAUUGGACAAUGGGCGCAAGCCUGAUCCAGCCAUACCGCGUGGGUGAAGAAGGCCUUCGGGUUGUAAAGCCCUUUUGUUGGGAAAGAAAAGCAGCAGGUUAAUACCCCGCUGUUCUGACGGUACCCAAAGAAUAAGCACCGGCUAACUUCGUG